RNAcentral lists this ribosomal RNA (814 nucleotides) under Phaeobotryon rhois. RNAcentral describes it as "partial large subunit ribosomal RNA". It matches the Rfam family "Eukaryotic large subunit ribosomal RNA", at positions 96 to 928 of the family's 3401-position model. Lineage: Eukaryota; Fungi; Ascomycota; Dothideomycetes; Botryosphaeriales; Botryosphaeriaceae. The record is from RNAcentral.
AAGCGGCAACAGCUCAAAUUUGAAAGCUGGCUCCUUCGGAGUCCGCAUUGUAAUUUGUAGAGGAUGAUUCGGCGAGGGCUCCCGCCUAAGUCCACUGGAACGUGGCGUCAUAGAGGGUGAGAAUCCCGUAUGCGGUGGGUUGCCUUAGCCAUGUGAAUCUCCUUCGACGAGUCGAGUUGUUUGGGAAUGCAGCUCUAAAUGGGAGGUAAAUUUCUUCUAAAGCUAAAUACCGGCCAGAGACCGAUAGCGCACAAGUAGAGUGAUCGAAAGAUGAAAAGCACUUUGGAAAGAGAGUUAAAAAGUACGUGAAAUUGUUGAAAGGGAAGGGCUUGCAACCAGACUUGUCCGCAGUUGCUCAGCCGGUCUCCUGACCGGCGUACUCUUCUGCGGCCAGGCCAGCAUCAGUUCGGGCGGUCGGAUAAAGACCUAGGGAAUGUAGCUCCUCUCGGGGAGUGUUAUAGCCCUGGGUGGAAUGCGGCCAGCCUGGACUGAGGAUCUCGCUUCGGCUAGGAUGCUGGCGUAAUGGUUGUAAGCCGCCCGUCUUGAAACACGGACCAAGGAGUCUAACAUCUAUGCGAGUGUUUGGGUGUCAAACCCAUACGCGUAAUGAAAGUGAACGGAGGUGGGAACCCGCAAGGGCGCACCAUCGGCCGAUCCUGAUGUCUUCGGAUGGAUUUGAGCAAGAGCAUAGCUGUUGGGACCCGAAAGAUGGUGAACUAUGCCUGAAUAGGGUGAAGCCAGAGGAAACUCUGGUGGAGGCUCGCAGCGGUUCUGACGUGCAAAUCGAUCGUCAAAUUUGGGUAUAGGGGCGAAA